UACGGGGGGGGCAAGCGUUGUUCGGAAUUACUGGGCGUAAAGGGCGCGUAGGCGGCUUCGGAAGUCAUGGGUGAAAGUCCCCGGCUCAACCGGGGAAGGGCCUGUGAAACCACGGAGCUGGAGUGCUGGAGAGGGAAGCGGAAUUCCCAGUGUAGCGGUGAAAUGCGUAGAUAUUGGGAGGAACAUCGGUGGCGAAGGCGGCUUCCUGGACAGACACUGACGCUGAGGCGCGAAAGCCGGGGGAGCGAACGGG
Molecule: ribosomal RNA, 253 nt
Filed under: uncultured bacterium
Lineage: Bacteria
Description: partial 16S ribosomal RNA
Rfam family: Bacterial small subunit ribosomal RNA
Source: RNAcentral